UACGGGGGGGUGCGAGCGUUUGUCCGGAAUCACUGGGCGUAAAGGGCGCGUAGGUGGUGGCUUAAGCGUGCGGUGAAAGCUCGGGGCUCAACUCCGAGUCGGCCGUGCGAACUGGGCUCACUGGAGCAUAGUAGAGGCAGGUGGAAUUCCGGGUGUAGCGGUGGAAUGCGUAGAGAUCCGGAAGAACACCGGUGGCGAAGGCGGCCUGCUGGGCUAUGGCUGACACUGAGGCGCGACAGCGUGGGGGAGCAAACAGG
Molecule: ribosomal RNA, 257 nt
Filed under: uncultured bacterium
Lineage: Bacteria
Description: partial 16S ribosomal RNA
Rfam family: Bacterial small subunit ribosomal RNA
Source: RNAcentral